This 505-nucleotide ribosomal RNA is filed under the name uncultured bacterium. RNAcentral's name for it is "partial 16S ribosomal RNA". It matches the Rfam family "Bacterial small subunit ribosomal RNA", at positions 28 to 507 of the family's 1533-position model. The record is from RNAcentral.
GACGAACGCUGGCGGCGUGCCUAAUACAUGCAAGUAGAACGCACAGUUUAUACCGUAGCUUGCUACACCAUAGACUGUGAGUUGCGAACGGGUGAGUAACGCGUAGGUAACCUGCCUGGUAGCGGGGGAUAACUAUUGGAAACGAUAGCUAAUACCGCACAAUAUUAAUUAUUGCAUGAUAAUUAAUUGAAAGGUGCAAUUGCACCACUACCAGAUGGACCUGCGUUGUAUUAGCUAGUAGGUGAGGUAACGGCUCACCUAGGCGACGAUACAUAGCCGACCUGAGAGGGUGAUCGGCCACACUGGGACUGAGACACGGCCCAGACUCCUACGGGAGGCAGCAGUAGGGAAUCUUCGGCAAUGGACGAAAGUCUGACCGAGCAACGCCGCGGGAGUGAAGAAGGUUUUCGGAUCGUAAAGCUCUGUUGUAAGAGAAGAACGGGUGUGAGAGUGGAAAGUUCACACUGUGACGGUAGCUUACCAGAAAGGGACGGCUAACUACGUG